ACCACUAAGCUAUCCCAUUAUUUUGUUAUGGGUUCCAACCUGUCAAUAUUUAAAUCCAUUGAGAAUUUUUCUAAUAUAAUUAUAAGUCUUACGGUAGCGGGUAGAGGUUUCGGGAACCCCACCGGAUACAGUAGAUUCGCCCCUGAAUGAACUUAUAUUUAACCUAAUUGGUCAACAAAAGCACACAUUUGUCUCGUUAAAAAUAUUGUACAUAUGAUACUCAAACACCAAAAGUAUCUAAAUUUUAAUUUCUUGACCUACAAUAUCAUUUAAACUCACAACUACCUCUCUAAGUAGACUAGAUAAUAUUUUUCACCUUAACGACCUUAUGUCCAUUAUUCAUAAGUCUCUCUUAUUUUAAGCUGAUUGCUCUAAAAUUAGUCAUUUGAUAAUUUUGCUUAAAAUCCAAUCCAAUCCCAUCUCCAUUUAUCACUAAGACAAGGAGGCGAUUACCUGUAUAAAAAAGUUAACCUCUUGUCUACUCGAUAUAUUUAAAAUAAAUAAAGAAUGCACAUAACAUUCAACACUAAAAUAUGUAUGUAAAUCAACUUUAUUGAUAAUUAAAGAACAUUAGUUUUGUGAACAUGGAAAAAUAAAGGACAAAAUUAAAUAUCUUAAAAUCUACGCAAGCCUUGGAAUCUGGUAUGUCCUACAAAUGUAUCUCUAGACAAAAGCUUAAUCAAUAAAUCUGCCAACAUAUCUUUUGUAGACAUAUUUUACGUUCACAAACUUGCAUCUAACCAUGACUCUUUACAUAGUUUUACUUUAAAAUACUAAUGAAUUUAACAUUAAAUAUAGUUAUUAUAAUAUUGAACAUGCUUUAAAAAUGUUAAUUUAUUCAACAUCAAAUUAUUUUGUGUUCUCAACAUGUGAAAAAUAUCUAAAGUAGAUUUUUUGGAAGAAUGAAUAUCAUAAUUUUCUAGAAUAAUCAUGAAUAUCAUAGUUUUCUAGUUAAAAUUUCUAGAAUAAUCUUGUGAAUUAAUAUCAUAAUUUUGUAGUAAAGUCUCUAGAAUACUCUAACAUAAUAUUUAGGAUAAUUAACUUACAAAAAUAUCUAGAUUAUUCUUAGAUAGCUAGAAGAUAAAGUUUGCUAGAAUAUUCUUGUAGAUGUAUCUAGAAGAAAUUUUAGAACCAUCCAUAGACUAGUAUAAAUAGAUAAGUGUCUAGUACAUUUGUAACCAUCCAAAAACAAAUUCAAUACAGAGUAUAUUCAUGCAGUCUUCCUCCAAUGGAACGGGGGAUCGCACCUUCAGCGAAGAAAUCCAAGUUCUCCCUUUACAAUAUCUUCCUUCACCUUUCUAGCUUCCUCUUCUUAGUUGAAUCCUCCUAUCUUAGUUAACAAUCUUGGGCUAGCAGAAGAUCUCUCCAACUACACAUUUCUUCUGCUAUUCUCUACAUGGUAUCAAAGCCAAAGUCAUAGAUUGACUUGUGUUUAUUUCAAGAUAGGGUUUGUGGUCAAUUCAACUGCUUUGUUCGAAUGAAUUUAAAACGGUCGUGUUAAUGGACUGGAAAUGGAGCUAUUGAAUCAGUCAAAUUAUAAGGUAUGGAAGAAAUGUAUGGAAUCAUACCUUGUGGGUGAGGAUAAGGCGCAAAUCAGCUCAUGAAAUAUGGAGGACCCUCGAUCAGUUGUUCAAUAAGAAGAAUGAAGCCCGACUACAAAUAUUGGAGAAUGAAUAAGCGAGCACCACUCAAGGGCUAGAAUCUUGAUGAAUUAGAUACAUUGAUGAUAUGAAAUGGUGGAAGGAAUAAAAGACAUAGGAACAUAGAUCAGAAAGGAAAGUUGAAGUCAGAAAUCCACAUUGGUGCAGUCACCGCGUCGCGCCAAUCAAGAAAAUGGUGUUGGUCGAAUUCCAAUGGAGUAGCGCGAUUAUGACGCGUCGCGGAGCAGCUUGAAAUCCCAUUUGGCAAAAUUCAGUGUUGGUCCCCGACCGUGGCGCGUCGCGGUAAAGAGGGAAAUCAAAGUUUUCACUUUCCAGUGUUGGUCCGCGAUUUCACCGCGUCGCGGUGCAAGUUCAGUUGUCAAUUUUUGAGACCUGAAUUCGAGGAAUUCGAGAAAUCUGAAGAAAAAAUAUGCUGGA
This is a long non-coding RNA of Capsicum annuum, 2078 nucleotides long. RefSeq lists it as uncharacterized. NCBI's taxonomy places the organism in Eukaryota, Viridiplantae, Streptophyta, Magnoliopsida, Solanales, Solanaceae. The transcript is spliced from 2 exons. The record is from RefSeq and is a predicted model, not a curated record.